RNAcentral lists this ribosomal RNA (253 nucleotides) under uncultured bacterium. RNAcentral describes it as "partial 16S ribosomal RNA". It matches the Rfam family "Bacterial small subunit ribosomal RNA", at positions 524 to 776 of the family's 1533-position model. The record is from RNAcentral.
UACGUAGGGUGCGAGCGUUGUCCGGAAUUAUUGGGCGUAAAGAGCUUGUAGGCGGUCUGUCGCGUCUGCUGUGAAAAUCCGGGGCUCAACCCCGGACUUGCAGUGGGUACGGGCAGACUAGAGUGUGGUAGGGGAGACUGGAAUUCCUGGUGUAGCGGUGAAAUGCGCAGAUAUCAGGAGGAACACCGAUGGCGAAGACAGGUCUCUGGGCCACUACUGACGCUGAGAAGCGAAAGCAUGGGGAGCGAACAGG